UGACGAAUUAUUGUUUGUCACUCGCUACCGUGAGGGUGGGCAAGAAGGAGUGUCCGGGGUCCAGGGAAGAGCUCCAGAGCUAGAUGAUAGACUCUGCACCAUGGAAGGACAGAAUGCCAGGUCGCUGAGGUGCUGUUUCAGCAGGUGUUCUGGCUGUAUGGACAUCCGGAGGACAUCGUGACCGACCACGGUCCCCACUUUACAUCUCCUGUCUGGAAAGACUUGUCCAGGCUGGGAGUGGCGGUCAGCCUCAAGACCAGGUAUCACCUGCAUGCCAGGUAUCACGGGCAGGCGGAGCGUACGAACCAAGAGCUGGGAAGGUUCCUCUGGUCCUACUGCAUGGACCGUCCAGGUGGGGCUCGGAUUCCAGCCUUCGUUGUGCCCCUGGGUGGGGAGCUCGAGCAAUAUCCAAGCCGUGGAGGAGUGGUUAACGAAGUUGAAUGGGGUCUGGCCCACCGCCCAUGUCCACCUGCAGG
This is a long non-coding RNA of Esox lucius (northern pike), 476 nucleotides long. NCBI's taxonomy places the organism in Eukaryota, Metazoa, Chordata, Actinopteri, Esociformes, Esocidae. The record is from Ensembl.